Molecule: unclassified non-coding RNA, 377 nt
Filed under: uncultured Pseudomonadota bacterium
Lineage: Bacteria; Pseudomonadati; Pseudomonadota
Description: uncultured proteobacterium contains 16S-23S intergenic spacer region
Source: RNAcentral
UCGCGUCUUACGACGGCAGUUUCUCCAGAGUUCCCGGCAUGACCCGUUGGCAACUAGUGAUGGGGGUUGCGCUCGUUGCGGGACUUAACCCAACAUCUCACGACACGAGCUGACGACAGCCAUGCAGCACCUGUCUCCGUGCCCCUUGCGGGGAAAACCCAUCUCUGAGCCGGUCACGGGAUGUCAAGGGCUGGUAAGGUUCUGCGCGUUGCGUCGAAUUAAUCCACAUCAUCCACCGCUUGUGCGGGUCCCCGUCAAUUCCUUUGAGUUUUAACCUUGCGGCCGUACUCCCCAGGCGGGCAACUUCACGCGUUAGCUACGGUACUGAGGAAUCGCUCCCCCAACACCCAGUUGCCAUCGUUUAGGGCGUGGACUAC